This 253-nucleotide ribosomal RNA is filed under the name uncultured bacterium. RNAcentral's name for it is "partial 16S ribosomal RNA". It matches the Rfam family "Bacterial small subunit ribosomal RNA", at positions 524 to 776 of the family's 1533-position model. The record is from RNAcentral.
UACGAAGGGGGCUAGCGUUGCUCGGAAUCACUGGGCGUAAAGGGCGCGUAGGCGGCUAUCCAAGUGGCGGGUGAAAUCCCUCGGCUUAACCGAGGAACUGCCUGCCAGACUGGAUGGCUCGAGACCGGGAGAGGUGAGUGGAAUUCCCAGUGUAGCGGUGAAAUGCGUAGAUAUUGGGAGGAACACCAGUGGCGAAGGCGGCUCACUGGACCGGUACUGACGCUGAGGCGCGAAAGCGUGGGGAGCAAACAGG